Molecule: ribosomal RNA, 1337 nt
Filed under: uncultured organism
Description: bacterial SSU rRNA
Rfam family: Bacterial small subunit ribosomal RNA
Source: RNAcentral
AGUGGCGCACGGGUGAGUAAUGCUUGGGUGACGUACCUCUAUGCUGGGGAUAACUGGAGGAAACUCCGGCUAAUACCGAAUAGUCCCUUAUGGGUAAAGCCGCGAGGCGCGUAGAGAUCGGCCCGAGUCCCAUUAGCUAGUUGGUGGGGUAAGAGCCUACCAAGGCGACGAUGGGUAGCUGGUCUGAGAGGAUGAUCAGCCACACUGGUACUGGAACACGGACCAGACUCCUACGGGAGGCAGCAGUUAGGAAUUUUGCGCAAUGGGGGAGACCCUGACGCAGCAACGUCGCGUGAGUGAAGAAGGCCUUCGGGUUGUAAAGCUCUUUCAGCAGGGAAGAAGAUGACGGUACCUGCAGAAGAAGCACCGGCUAACUCUGUGCCAGCAGCCGCGGUAAUACGGAGGGUGCGAGCGUUAUUCGGAAUGACUGGGCGUAAAGCGCGCGUAGGCGGCUGUCUAAGUCUGAUGUGAAAGUCCUGGACUCAAUCUAGGAAGUGCAUUGGAUACUGGGCGGCUAAGUGUAGGAGAGGAAGCGGAAUUCCAGGUGUAGAGGUGAAAUUCGUAGAUAUCUGGAGGAACAACGGAGGCGAAGGCGGCUCUCUGGACUAUAACUGACGCUGAGGUGCGAAAGUGUGGGUAGCAAACAGGAUUAGAUACCCUGGUAGUCCACACCGUAAACGAUGAAUACUAGAUGUCGGGAGUUCUUACCCUCUCGGUAUCGCAGCUAACGCAUUAAGUAUUCCGCCUGGGGACUACGGUCGCAAGAUUAAAACUCAAAGAAAUUGACGGGGGCCCGCACAAGCGGUGGAGUAUGUUGUUUAAUUCGAGGCAACGCGAAGAACCUUACCUGGGCUUGACAUCCCUCGCUAUCCUGUGAAAGCAGGAGUUCCCUUCGGGGACGGGGUGACAGGUGCUGCAUGGCUGUCGUCAGCUCGUGUCGUGAGAUGUUGGGUUAAGUCCCGCAACGAGCGCAACCCUUGUUACUAGUUGCCAGCAUUGAGUUGGGCACUCUAGUGAGACCGCUUGCCGAUAAGGCAGAGGAAGAUGGGGAUGACGUCAAGUCAGCAUGGCCCUUACGUCCAGGGCUACAAACGUACUACAAUGGAUAGGACAGAGCGUAGCGAAGUCGCGAGGCUAAGCAAAUCGCAGAAACCUGUUCUCAGUUCGGAUUGGAGUCUGCAACUCGACUCCAUGAAGUUGGAAUCGCUAGUAAUCGCGGAUCAGCAUGCCGCGGUGAAUACGUUCCCGGGCCUUGUACACACCGCCCGUCACGCCAUGGGAGUUGGUACUGCUUAAAGAGGCUGAGCUAACCUUCGGGAGGCAGGCUUCUAUGGUGG